AGCAGCCGCGGUAAUUCCAGCUCCAAUAGCGUAUAUUAAAGUUGUUGCAGUUAAAAAGCUCGUAGUUGAAUUUCGGGAUCAAUUAAUUGGUCGUGCCUCUGGUACGUACUGAUUUUAUUGGUUUCUCCCUUCUGACGAACCAUGAUGUCAUUAAUUUGGUGUCGUGGAGAAUCAGGACUGUUACUUUGAAAAAAUUAGAGUGUUUAAAGCAAGCUAACGCUUGAAUACAUUAGCAUGGAAUAAUGAAAUAGGACGUUUGAUCCUAUUUUGUUGGUUUCUAGGAUCGACGUAAUGAUUAAUAGGGAUAGUUGGGGGCAUUAGUAUUCAAUUGUCAGAGGUGAAAUUCUUGGAUUUAUUGAAGACUAACUACUGCGAAAGCAUUUGCCAAGGAUGUUUUCAUUAAUCAAGAACGAAAGUUAGGGGAUCGAAGACGAUCAGAUACCGUCGUAGUCUUAACCAUAAACUAUGCCGACUAGGGAUCGGAUGAUGUUAAUU
Molecule: unclassified non-coding RNA, 495 nt
Filed under: uncultured Entrophospora
Lineage: Eukaryota; Fungi; Glomeromycota; Glomeromycetes; Entrophosporales; Entrophosporaceae
Description: SSU rRNA
Rfam family: Eukaryotic small subunit ribosomal RNA
Source: RNAcentral